CCUCCAAAUUAUUCUAAAUGAUAAACUAGCUAUUUGGUUUUUUUUUUCUUUUCUUCUUUUGCUUGAUUGCAAAAGUGUAUCUCACUUCCCGAUCUCCACUCCCAGCUACAAACGCAACACUGCUACCGACUCAUAUUCCAUUUCUUCACCAUUGUUUCUUCAUCCUCCUAAUGUAUCAAUUGCUUUCAUAUCAAACUUCCUUCGCACAUUCCAUUCAUGUUUCGACGAUUCCAUCGCCGCUCGCUGCGCGCACCAUUUCCCUUACUCAAUUCCAAUUCAACUUACAGAAUACACUCUCGAUCUUCCGGAAGAUGUUGCUGUAUGUCAGUAAACUGUCAAAAUGGAACCGAAGAGAUGAACUUGAGCGAGGGUGUUUUCCGUAAAUUUGGUUGUUUAACGUUCAUUAGAAAGAGAAGGCUAUGGUUUUGUGGUAGUUGAUUUUCAUUUGGAUGCGGAGAAAGCUUUGAGCAUUGAAAGGUAGAAAUCGGCGGAUGCAACAGACAAGAACCAACAUUCGCAGGAGGACAAUAAUUAGAAUAUAACCAAACCAAUCAUUGCUGUGAAAUUCUCUUCCAGGAUGGUAAAAUGGGCAGAGAGCUUUCAGCAUUCCGGAACACUGGUGGCGGAUGAUAUUCCAACUAAAUUUCGGAAGCCAACUCUGGAAACUCAUAUUUAUCCUCGUUCUGGCUGUUCAAUCAUCAUAUCUACAGAGGAAAUGUGCCUGGUUCUUAGUAAAAGUGGCCUAGAACUUUUCUGGUGCUGCUUGGUUGUGGCCUUGGUAUGUUAUUUAUUACCGGAGGUUGAAGAGGGCCUAAUUUCAACCGAGAACUAUGCCGGCCGGGUUGCUCAGAAUCAGGAAUUUGGCAUUGUUGAUAAAUACAUAAUAAACAGUAGUGGAUGGGGAGAAUUCAGUCUUGAAAACUCUUGAUAGCUGGUACUGUCACAAAUGAUGCCCCAUCGGUAGAUUUAUACCAAAUGGGCUCUGUGUCUAUGGCGUUUCUUUUUUAUCUUCACGGCUCUGGAUGGAAUUCAGAUGUGAUUAUUCAGUAAUGAUUUUCGAAGAACUUUGCCCUGGGUGUGUCAUGGAGAAAAAGGUGUUGCUCAUCAUCCAAAUUUAAUCACUUGUCUGGUAACUGGUAUUCAAUUACUAUAGCUCUUCUCUUUCUUUUAUGAGGAUUGAGGAGGGUGGGUUUUGGAUUAAAUGUUAGUAACAGAUGUGUAAUUAAUAGUUAUAUUAAUCUCGCGUUUACCAACAUCUCUGUGGGAAAGUAGGAAUCAGAAAGGAAAGACAUUUCCAUAAUGGCUAACUUGUUUUGAUUAACAUGGUACUGUAUAGUAUAGAAGAUGGAAAAUACAUUGGUAUAUGGAAAAUUGCGAAAAUGCAUUUGGCUGGUGUUACCAAAAAUAAUUUUCUUUCCUUGUGACAUAAGGAAUAGGAAUAGGGAAUUUGUGAAGAGGAAGAAUAAGAGUUUAAGGAGAUAAGAGCUUGCAUUUCUCUGCUAGUUUUGCCCUUCAUUGGAUUUUUGUUGUUUUUUGAUUCAGUUUUAAUGAGUCAGCAAUUAAUAUUCCACAUCAGAUUUAUUAUGGCAGGUCACACAGGGCCAAAUCACUAGAAAUUUGUCGCAUCAAUUAAACAAAAAAAAACUCACUAGGGAUUAAAGUGACUGUUUUAAAUAUCGUAGGGAUUGGGACAAAAAAACAAAACAAAAAUUAGUGGAACGAAAAUCAAAUUUAAACCUAAUAUAAUAUUUAAUAACAAAAUAAAUAGAUAGAUAAUGCUUUAAAAAUAUAGAUUGAUAGAUAAGGGCUGUCAAAAAAAAAAGAUGGAUAGGUAAGGUGGAAAUUAUAGGUAGAUACUCAUUACACUUAUUUCUCCUAAAAAAAAUGCUCAUGUCUGGAAGUUAACUUCCGGAUGCGAUCUAUAAAUUUUCUUCGAAUGAUUUCACUUUGAAAAUGACUGAAAGGGUUUGUCCUGAAGUUAAAAUGCGAAUACUAUAUCGGCAGGAAAUGGUAAACUUCAAGCAUUUCUGCGAAAUAAAAAUUUGCAGGCAAUUCCAGAGUAAAAUCUGCAGAAAAUUUGUCACAGGUAGUUAACUUCCGGAUACAACCUGUUCCAUUUUGAACUUUCAAAAAAUUCCGUAGGUAUAUCCAUAGGAAAUGUGAAAUAUUAGCAAAACCUAUUGAAUUUGCUACGAAAAUUUCAAGGUGCGUCCAAAAGCUAACUUCCGAACGUGACAUUUUUGGAAUUUUAUAAAGUUUUGGAGAAAUAUAUAUAUAGGGUUUAUUGAGUAUCCCAAAUUAUACUGGCUGAUACCAAUAUAACCUGUAAUGAUUUAUUUAUGAGCCUAGGACUAACAUAGUACUAUCAUCCUGCAGUUCUAAGACUUUACUCGCAUUGAUUUCUGGUUUAAUGCAUUGAUGUUCCUUUUAUGGACCCUGUUUUUUUGAAAAGGAAGGUAAGGAAGGGUUAUGAUUUUAUGAUACCGACUUCAUUUUGUUUGGUAUCACGAUCAUCAAGGAGAUUGGUGGAUUAGUUUUCUGCGUGCUCAUUUGAAUUUGUAUUAUUUGCAUUUCUUCACGCAAAAGAAAAGUGAGAUGGAAAAUAUAUCUUAAAUAAAUAGAGAUCAAAGGAAGUGCAUUGUUAGAAUAAACUAUUUUUAAGGUAAUGCUAACUUGUGUCCUAGGGGCACAAGUUAAGAAAGUUAUUUAUAGAAAGUUUGUAUUAGAAAAAAUAAUUAAAAAAUUAAUUUUAUACUUUUAUUAAAGUCAAUCCACAAUUUCCAAGAUAACAUUUCUUCAUUUGGUUCUUAACUUGUGCCCCUGGGGCACAAGUUAGUAUUAUCCCUAUUUUUAUACCAUCAUCCAAUAGAAUUAUAACAUUCUAUCAUAUCAGUAUUUUAAAGUUAAACGUGUGAUUUGGUGGGAUGCACGUCUCUAAUUGAUUGACGGUGUAAAAAUAUUUUACACGGGCGGUGUAUAUUCUUGUUUCUCAUAAAUAUUCACAUU
This is a long non-coding RNA of Lathyrus oleraceus (garden pea), 3006 nucleotides long. RefSeq lists it as uncharacterized. Lineage: Eukaryota; Viridiplantae; Streptophyta; Magnoliopsida; Fabales; Fabaceae. The record is from RefSeq and is a predicted model, not a curated record. The transcript is spliced from 3 exons.